Molecule: unclassified non-coding RNA, 175 nt
Filed under: uncultured fungus
Lineage: Eukaryota; Fungi
Also listed under: 1 other name
Description: sequence contains ITS1, 5.8S rRNA gene
Source: RNAcentral
AAAGGCGGCUCUUGAAGCCGAGCGGCGGCGCCCUUCGGGGUGCCUGCUGACGCGGGAUCUCCCUGCUAUCCUUUGUCUAUUCGUACCUUCUUUUCCUCAGCGGGCUUGCCUGCUGCAGGACCUUUUGAACAAACCUUUAUGAAAUACUUGUCUGAACAAUAGUAUUAAUUACUUA